RNAcentral lists this ribosomal RNA (489 nucleotides) under Mycobacterium intracellulare subsp. chimaera. RNAcentral describes it as "bacterial SSU rRNA". It matches the Rfam family "Bacterial small subunit ribosomal RNA", at positions 35 to 523 of the family's 1533-position model. The record is from RNAcentral. Lineage: Bacteria; Bacillati; Actinomycetota; Actinomycetes; Mycobacteriales; Mycobacteriaceae.
UCAGCAGCUGGCGGCGUCUUAACACAUGCAGUCGAACGGAAAGGCCCCUUCGGGGGUACUCGAGUGGCGAACGGGUGAGUAACACGUGGGCAAUCUGCCCUGCACUUCGGGAUAAGCCUGGGAAACUGGGUCUAAUACCGGAUAGGACCUUUAGGCGCAUGUCUUUAGGUGGAAAGCUUUUGCGGUGUGGGAUGGGCCCGCGGCCUAUCAGCUUGUUGGUGGGGUGAUGGCCUACCAAGGCGACGACGGGUAGCCGGCCUGAGAGGGUGUCCGGCCACACUGGGACUGAGAUACGGCCCAGACUCCUACGGGAGGCAGCAGUGGGGAAUAUUGCACAAUGGGCGCAAGCCUGAUGCAGCGACGCCGCGUGGGGGAUGACGGCCUUCGGGUUGUAAACCUCUUUCACCAUCGACGAAGGUUCGGGUUUUCUCGGAUUGACGGUAGGUGGAGAAGAAGCACCGGCCAACUACGUGCCAGCAGCCGCGGGUA